Molecule: long non-coding RNA, 344 nt
Filed under: Equus caballus (horse)
Lineage: Eukaryota; Metazoa; Chordata; Mammalia; Perissodactyla; Equidae
Description: lncRNA (ENSECAG00000056004.1)
Source: RNAcentral
CGUGCGGCCAGCGGGGGGCGUGGUGUGCACGUUAACCCUGGCGUUUCUGAACCCAGAGCGUCCCAAGUCUUUCUCGGUGGAUCUGCAGCUCACAGGAUUUCAGUAGAAUUUUGUAAAACUUUCUUAGCAUGCAUUGGGAACUAUGGGAAAUGCACUUGUCUACACUUGCCGAAGAUUGAAUUGAGAAAAGGAAAAUCAUCGCAGACUCAACACACAUUAUGAAUCUCAAGCAGGAUCCAUUCAAAGAAAACCAUACCUAAGCACAUUGUGAUAAAACUGCUGAAAACCAAGAAUGAGGAGGAAUCUUAAGAGCAGCCAGAGAAAGAGACGCAUCACUUUCAAAG